GCGACGAUCCAUAGCUGGUCUGAGAGGAUGAUCAGCCACAUUGGGACUGAGACACGGCCCAAACUCCUACGGGAGGCAGCAGUGGGGAAUAUUGGACAAUGGGCGCAAGCCUGAUCCAGCCAUGCCGCGUGAGUGAUGAAGGCCUUAGGGUUGUAAAGCUCUUUCACCGGAGAAGAUAAUGACGGUAUCCGGAGAAGAAGCCCCGGCUAACUUCGUGCCAGCAGCCGCGGUAAUACGAAGGGGGCUAGCGUUGUUCGGAAUUACUGGGCGUAAAGCGCACGUAGGCGGAUAUUUAAGUCAGGGGUGAAAUCCCAGAGCUCAACUCUGGAACUGCCUUUGAUACUGGGUAUCUUGAGUAUGGAACAGGUAAGUGGAAUUCCGAGUGUACAGGUGAAAUUCGUAGAUAUUCGGAGGAACACCAGUGGCAAAAGCGGCUUACUGUUCCAUUACUGACGCUGAGGUGCGAAAACAUGUGGAGCAAACAGGAUUACAUACCCUGGUCUUCCACGCCGUACUCAAUGAGAGUUAGCCGUCGGGGAGUAUACUGUUCGGUGACACACCUAGCGCAUUAAACAUUCAGCCUGUGAAGUACGGUCGCAAGAUUAAAACUCACACGAAUUGAUGGGGGCCCGCACAAGCGGUGGAGCUGUGGUUUAAUUCUAAGCAGCGCGCAGAACCUUACCA
This 684-nucleotide ribosomal RNA is filed under the name Paenirhizobium daejeonense. RNAcentral's name for it is "bacterial SSU rRNA". It matches the Rfam family "Bacterial small subunit ribosomal RNA", at positions 273 to 976 of the family's 1533-position model. Lineage: Bacteria; Pseudomonadati; Pseudomonadota; Alphaproteobacteria; Hyphomicrobiales; Rhizobiaceae. The record is from RNAcentral.